This 508-nucleotide ribosomal RNA is filed under the name uncultured bacterium. Its description in RNAcentral is "partial 16S ribosomal RNA". It matches the Rfam family "Bacterial small subunit ribosomal RNA", at positions 30 to 523 of the family's 1533-position model. The record is from RNAcentral.
AUUGAACGCUGGCGGCAUGCCUUACACAUGCAAGUCGAACGGCAGCGGGGGAGAAGCUUGCUUUUCCUGCCGGCGAGUGGCGAACGGGUGAGUAAUACAUCGGAACGUGCCCUGUAGUGGGGGAUAACUAGUCGAAAGAUUAGCUAAUACCGCAUACGACCUGAGGGUGAAAGUGGGGGACCGCAAGGCCGCAUGCUAUAGGAGCGGCCGAUGUCUGAUUAGCUAGUUGGCGGGGUAAAGGCCUACCAAGGCGACGAUCAGUAGCUGGUCUGAGAGGGCGACCAGCAACACGGGAACUGAGACACGGUCCAGACUCCUACGGGAGGCAGCAGUGGGUAAUUUUGGACAAUGGGCGAAAGCCUGAUCCAGCCAUUCCGCGUGCAGGAUGAAGGCCCUCGGGUUGUAAACUGCUUUUGUACAGAACGAAAAGGUUUCUACUAAUACUAGGAGCUCAUGACGGUACUGUAAGAAUAAGCACCGGCUAACUACGUGCCAGCCGCCGCGGUAA